Molecule: small nucleolar RNA, 92 nt
Filed under: Amborella trichopoda
Lineage: Eukaryota; Viridiplantae; Streptophyta; Magnoliopsida; Amborellales; Amborellaceae
Description: Small nucleolar RNA R24
Rfam family: Small nucleolar RNA R24
About the family: snoR24 is a C/D box small nucleolar RNA which acts as a methylation guide for 18S ribosomal RNA in plants.
Source: Rfam by way of RNAcentral
UGUGCCAUGAUGAAUAGUAACAUGUGAGAAGGGCUUUUUGAUUAAGAGUCACUUCAGUGAAAUGUAUUUGUUACGCUUGGCUUCUGAGCACA